RNAcentral lists this ribosomal RNA (445 nucleotides) under uncultured bacterium. RNAcentral's name for it is "partial 16S ribosomal RNA". It matches the Rfam family "Bacterial small subunit ribosomal RNA", at positions 354 to 796 of the family's 1533-position model. The record is from RNAcentral.
GUGAGGAAUAUUGCGCAAUGGAGGCAACUCUGACGUAGCCAUGCCGCGUGCAGGAAGAAGGCGCUACGCGUUGUAAACUGCUUUUAACCGGGAAGAAACCCCAGGACGUGUCCUGGGUUGACGGUACCGGAGGAAUAAGCACCGGCUAACUUCGUGCCAGCAGCCGCGGUAAUACGAAGGGUGCAAGCGUUAUCCGGAUUCAUUGGGUUUAAAGGGUGCGUAGGCGGAGCGUUAAGUCAGUGGUGAAAUCCUGCAGCUUAACUGUAGACUUGCCAUUGAUACUGGCGCUCUUGAGUGCGCUUGAAGUGGGCGGAAUGUGCCGUGUAGCGGUGAAAUGCUUAGAUAUGGCACAGAACACCAAUUGCGAAGGCAGCUCACUAAGGCGAUACUGACGCUGAGGCACGAAAGCGUGGGGAUCGAACAGGAUUAGAAACCCCAGUAGUCC